GAUGAACGCUGGCGGCGUGCCUAAUACAUGCAAGUCGAGCGAACAGACGAGGAGCUUGCUCCUCUGACGUUAGCGGCGGACUGGUGAGUAACACGUGGAUAACCUACCUAUAAGACUGGGAUAACUUCGGGAAACCGGAGCUAAUACCGGAUAAUAUAUUGAACCGCAUGGUUCAAUAGUGAAAGACGGUUUUGCUGUCACUUAUAGAUGGAUCCGCGCCGCAUUAGCUAGUUGGUAAGGUAACGGCUUACCAAGGCAACGAUGCGUAGCCGACCUGAGAGGGUGAUCGGCCACACUGGAACUGAGACACGGUCCAGACUCCUACGGGAGGCAGCAGUAGGGAAUCUUCCGCAAUGGGCGAAAGCCUGACGGAGCAACGCCGCGUAAGUGAUGAAGGUCUUCGGAUCGUAAAACUCUGUUAUUAGGGAAGAACAAAUGUGUAAGUAACUAUGCACGUCUUGACGGUACCUAAUCAGAAAGCCACGGCUAACUACGUG
RNAcentral lists this ribosomal RNA (497 nucleotides) under uncultured bacterium. Its description in RNAcentral is "partial 16S ribosomal RNA". It matches the Rfam family "Bacterial small subunit ribosomal RNA", at positions 28 to 507 of the family's 1533-position model. The record is from RNAcentral.